This 637-nucleotide ribosomal RNA is filed under the name uncultured archaeon. Its description in RNAcentral is "partial 16S ribosomal RNA". It matches the Rfam family "Archaeal small subunit ribosomal RNA", at positions 343 to 1478 of the family's 1478-position model. The record is from RNAcentral.
AAUACCUCUUUUUUCACAAUCGCACAGAAAGUGGAGAUAAGGUUACCCGGAGGGCUAAAAGAAAAACUUUUAGCUGUUAUAGGUGUGUAAAUAACCCUAGGAGAAAGGGGAGGGCAAGGCUGGUGCCAGCCGCCGCGGUAAAACCAGCUCUUCAAGUGGUCGGGAGUUUUAUUGGGCUUAAAGUGUCCGUAGCCGGUUUGGUAAGUUCCUGGUUAAUUCUGGCAGCUUAACUGUCAGUCGGCUAGGAUUCCUGCCUUACUCGGGGGGGGGAAAGGUCUGGGGUACUCCAGGGGUAGGGGUGAAAGGCGAUAAUCCUUGGGGGACCACCAGUGGCGAAGCCCCCGGAUUGGAACACGCCUGACGGGGAGGGACGAAUGCCAGGGGGGGGGAACGGGAUUAGAUACCCGGGUAGUCUUGGUUGUAAACAUUGCGUGCUAGGUGUUGGAGGGGUUAUGAGCCGAAUCAGUGCCGUAGGGGAAACUGUUAAGCGCGCCGCCUGGAAAGAACGCCCGCAAGAGGAAACCUUAAGGGAUUUGGCGGGGGAAAGGGCAAAUUCGUUUAACCUUGCGGAAUUAGCCCCUUUUGGGGAGGGUAAUUCUGAGCUUGGGGUAACCAUGGCCAUAGCUGUUUCCGGGAA